Molecule: non-coding RNA, 165 nt
Filed under: Bacteroides cutis
Lineage: Bacteria; Pseudomonadati; Bacteroidota; Bacteroidia; Bacteroidales; Bacteroidaceae
Source: RNAcentral
CUUUCAAAGAUGGCAAUUAAAAGGGAAUCAGGUGCAAAUCCUGAACAGUCCCGCUGCUGUAAGUUUCAUGCAAUGUUACAGACAACAACUCUCUAUACCACUGGAAGCAUGCUUCCGGGAAGGUGUUUGUAACAGAAACGAGUCAGAAGACCUGCCAUGCAACCA